Long non-coding RNA from Amphiprion ocellaris (clown anemonefish), 1167 nucleotides. The record is from Ensembl. Lineage: Eukaryota; Metazoa; Chordata; Actinopteri; Pomacentridae.
CAGACACACAGGCAGUGAAACGUUGUUGUGCUUGUCAUGGCGGCUGUUGCCAUUUCUGCCUGAGUCUAGAGAGAUCUGACGCCGUUUCUCCGCUAGUAGUUGACAUUUUACGCCGACACUUUGGUCUCCCUCAGGUCCCCCUCAUCCCACCUCCCUUGCAAUAGACCACAGUAGCAGUUAAAUUAAGGCCCAAGAGGCAGACAUCCUGCAGCAGACUGAAAAUGCAGAAAACCAGUUGCAUGAAUGAAAUGAGAACAUGAAGACUGCUCCCUAAAAAAAAAUUGAAAGUUCUCAGCUGACCAUGUGUCGUGCAAUGACAGAAAUGUCAAGAUGAGGGUGAGGCAGAGGACAAGGACGCAGGAAAGGUGGUCCUGCCUGCAUCUACAGUCUGAUCAUCAGUGUGGACAUUGAUGCAAAGACUUCAGGCUCAGAAGAUGACAGACCGUCUAUCCAGCCAUCACACCGAGAGCUGAAGGGGUGAAAGCGGAGGCCAGUUGUGGACCAGCCUAUAAAGACAUCGCAUUGGCACUGAUGUUGGAUGACUCGAGGACACAAAAUAAAAAGACGACUGAAAAGAGGGCCCCGGCAGAAGAGACAAAUGAGACACAGCUCCAGAAGUCACAUGACGAUGAGGGGCUGAGUUUACCAACCCCCUCCUAAACCCCAAACAUUUUAAAAUAGGAAGUAGGGAAGAGUCCUUAAAGAUGAAAUAGAAAAUGAGACACAUCACCCAGAUAUGAGAAGAAAUGAUGUAAACUGACCCAGGAUCAGCAUAUUACAUGUCUGGCAGCUCAACUAACACCAGAUAACUUGAUGAAGUUUGCUUUCUCCAAGACCCUCAACAAUCACAAGGAUCAGAUCAGGACAGGGAGCCAGAUGAAGGACAGCCACAGGAUAGGAAUCCCCAUUUCUGAACAUGAGAUGUGGAAAGAAAUGGAAGAAGUUGGAGCAUCUGCAGAGAACCCACCCAGGUCCAGAGAGAACAUGAACUCCACACAGACAGAACCAGCAGGAUGAAGAAACAGUGAGAGGAACCCCAGGAUGAUCAGAAAUGGAAGAAUUAUGCCAAGAUGAGACACUGUUAAAGCUGUGAAAAAAAAAUCUAUGUUCAGGCAAACUGUGUGACAUCCUGAUAUCUUGAGUUAUUACUCCAAAUAAAAAGGUGGC